UACGUAGGGAGCAAGCGUUGUCCGGAAUCAUUGGGCGUAAAGCGCGCGUAGGCGGCCCCGUAAGUCCGCUGUGAAAGUCAAAGGCUCAACCUUUGAAAGCCGGUGGAUACUGUGGGGCUAGAGUCCGGAAGAGGCGAGUGGAAUUCCUGGUGUAGCGGUGGAAUGCGCAGAUAUCGAGAGGAACACCGGUGGCGAAGGCGGCCAACUGGACGAAUACUGACGCUGAGACACGAAAGCGUGGGGAGCAAACAGG
Molecule: ribosomal RNA, 253 nt
Filed under: uncultured bacterium
Lineage: Bacteria
Description: partial 16S ribosomal RNA
Rfam family: Bacterial small subunit ribosomal RNA
Source: RNAcentral